RNAcentral lists this ribosomal RNA (425 nucleotides) under uncultured Clostridium sp. Its description in RNAcentral is "bacterial SSU rRNA". It matches the Rfam family "Bacterial small subunit ribosomal RNA", at positions 355 to 794 of the family's 1533-position model. The record is from RNAcentral. Lineage: Bacteria; Bacillati; Bacillota; Clostridia; Eubacteriales; Clostridiaceae.
UGGGGGAUAUUGGUCAAUGGGGGAAACCCUGAACCAGCAAUGCCGCGUGAGGGAAGAAGGUCUUCGGAUUGUAAACCUAAGUAGUCAGGGACGAAGAAAGUGACGGUACCUGAAGAGUAAGCUCCGGCUAACUACGUGCCAGCAGCCGCGGUAAUACGUAGGGAGCGAGCGUUGUCCGGAUUUACUGGGUGUAAAGGGUGCGUAGGCGGGUCGGCAAGUCAGAUGUGAAAUACCGGGGCUUAACUCCGGGGCUGCAUUUGAAACUGUUGAUCUUGAGUGAAGUAGAGGCAGGCGGAAUUCCUAGUGUAGCGGUGAAAUGCGUAGAUAUUAGGAGGAACACCAGUGGCGAAGGCGGCCUGCUGGGCUUUAACUGACGCUGAGGCACGAAAGCAUGGGGAGCAAACAGGAUUAGAUACCCUGGUAGU